AACUUGGCCAACGCAACACAACUGGUUACCAGUAGCAGAAAGUAGUGAGUGGACUCUUCUUCUUUAUUUUUUCCCCCUUGUUGCCGUCUCCUCCUUCCAUUGCCUGUUACUUUCUUCUUCCUUUUUAGAUAAAAUUGCUUCAGAAUUAUUAGAGAGAGAGAGUCAAGAGAGGGCAUGAAGUAGAGAAGGAAAUUUGACAAGAGGUUGAGAUGGGUUGCCCCAGAUCCAGGCAACUUUGGUGUUAAUUUGUCUAAAAAGGGUAACCAUAACAUCCUUUUUGUCAAUAAAU
This 289-nucleotide long non-coding RNA is filed under the name Linum usitatissimum (flax). Its description in RNAcentral is "long non-coding RNA (LUSI_LNC000854)". The record is from RNAcentral. Lineage: Eukaryota; Viridiplantae; Streptophyta; Magnoliopsida; Malpighiales; Linaceae.